GACGAACGCUGGCGGCGUGCCUAAUACAUGCAAGUAGAACGCUGAAGGAGGAGCUUGCUCUUCUGGAUGAGUUGCGAACGGGUGAGUAACGCGUAGGUAACCUGCCUGGUAGCGGGGGAUAACUAUUGGAAACGAUAGCUAAUACCGCAUAACAGUAGAUGUUGCAUGACAUUUGCUUAAAAGGUGCAAUUGCACCACUACCAGAUGGACCUGCGUUGUAUUAGCUAGUUGGUGGGGUAACGGCUCACCAAGGCGACGAUACAUAGCCGACCUGAGAGGGUGAUCGGCCACACUGGGACUGAGACACGGCCCAGACUCCUACGGGAGGCAGCAGUAGGGAAUCUUCGGCAAUGGACGGAAGUCUGACCGAGCAACGCCGCGUGAGUGAGGAAGGUUUUCGGAUCGUAAAGCUCUGUUGUAAGAGAAGAACGAGUGUGAGAGUGGAAAGUUCACACUGUGACGGUAUCUUACCAGAAAGGGACGGCUAACUACGUG
This 495-nucleotide ribosomal RNA is filed under the name uncultured bacterium. Its description in RNAcentral is "partial 16S ribosomal RNA". It matches the Rfam family "Bacterial small subunit ribosomal RNA", at positions 28 to 507 of the family's 1533-position model. The record is from RNAcentral.